Molecule: ribosomal RNA, 492 nt
Filed under: uncultured bacterium
Lineage: Bacteria
Description: partial 16S ribosomal RNA
Rfam family: Bacterial small subunit ribosomal RNA
Source: RNAcentral
AGUGAACGCUGGCGGUAGGCCUAACACAUGCAAGUCGAACGGCAGCACAGUAAGAGCUUGCUCUUACGGGUGGCGAGUGGCGGACGGGUGAGGAGUACAUCGGAAUCUACUUUUUCGUGGGGGAUAACGUAGGGAAACUUACGCUAAUACCGCAUACGACCUACGGGUGAAAGCAGGGGAUCUUCGGACCUUGCGCGAUUGAUUGAGCCGAUGUCGGAUUAGCUAGUUGGCGGGGUAAAGGCACACCAAGGCGACGAUCCGUAGCUGGUCUGAGAGGAUGAUCAGCCACACUGGAACUGAGACACGGUCCAGACUCCUACGGGAGGCAGCAGUGGGGAAUAUUGGACAAUGGGCGCAAGCCUGAUCCAGCCAUACCGCGUGGGUGAAGAAGGCCUUCGGGUUGUAAAGCCCUUUUGUUGGGAAAGAAAAGCAGCAUGUUAAUACCCCGCUGUUCUGACGGUACCCAAAGAAUAAGCACCGGCUAACUUCGUG